ACCCGCACAAGCGGUGGAUGAUGUGGAUUAAUUCGAUGCAACGCGAAAACCUUACCUACCCUUGACAUGUCUGGAAUCUUGGUGAGAGCCGAGGGUGCCUUCGGGAGCCAGAACACAGGUGCUGCAUGGCUGUCGUCAGCUCGUGUCGUGAGAUGUUGGGUUAAGUCCCGCAACGAGCACAACCCUUGUCACUAGUUGCCAUCAUUUGGUUGGGCACUCUAGUGAGACUGCCGGUGACAAACCGGAGGAAGGUGGGGAUGACGUCAAGUCCUCAUGGCCCUUAUGGGUAGGGCUUCACACGUCAUACAAUGGCGUAUACAAAGGGAUGCGAAAGGGCGACCUGGAGCAAAACUCACAAAGUACGUCUCAGUUCAGAUUGGAGUCUGCAACUCGACUCCAUGAAGGCGGAAUCGCUAGUAAUCGCGGAUCAGCAUGCCGCGGUGAAUACGUUCUCGGGGUUU
This 461-nucleotide ribosomal RNA is filed under the name uncultured Thauera sp. Its description in RNAcentral is "bacterial SSU rRNA". It matches the Rfam family "Bacterial small subunit ribosomal RNA", at positions 920 to 1378 of the family's 1533-position model. Lineage: Bacteria; Pseudomonadati; Pseudomonadota; Betaproteobacteria; Rhodocyclales; Zoogloeaceae. The record is from RNAcentral.